GCGUGUGUGAAGAAGGCCUGCGGGUUGUAAAGCACUUUCAGUAGAGAAGAAAAGCAUAGGGCUAAUACCUCUGUGUCUUGACGUUACCUACAGAAGAAGCACCGGCUAAUUCCGUGCCAGCAGCCGCGGUAAUACGGAAGGUGCAAGCGUUAAUCGGAAUUACUGGGCGUAAAGCGCGCGUAGGCGGCUGAGUAAGUCGGAUGUGAAAGCCCUGGGCUUAACCUGGGAAUUGCAUUCGAAACUGCUCAACUAGAGUAUGGAAGAGGAAAGCGGAAUUCCCGGUGUAGCGGUGAAAUGCGU
Molecule: ribosomal RNA, 300 nt
Filed under: uncultured bacterium
Lineage: Bacteria
Description: bacterial SSU rRNA
Rfam family: Bacterial small subunit ribosomal RNA
Source: RNAcentral